CAGUAGCCGCGGGAAAACGAAGGGUGCAAGCGUUACUCGGAAUUACUGGGCGUAAAGCGUGCGUAGGUGGUGGUUUAAGUCCGUUGUGAGAGCCCUGGGCUCAACCUGGGAAUUGCAGUGGAUACUGGGUCACUAGAGUGUGGUAGAGGAUAGUGGAAUUUCCGGUGUAGCAGUGAAAUGCGUAGAGAUCGGAAGGAACAUCUGUGGCGAAGGCGACUAUCUGGGCCAACACUGACACUGAGGCACGAAAGCGUGGGGAGCAAACAGGAUUAGAUACCCGAGUAGUCCCUGUCUCUUAUAC
This 301-nucleotide ribosomal RNA is filed under the name uncultured bacterium. RNAcentral's name for it is "partial 16S ribosomal RNA". It matches the Rfam family "Bacterial small subunit ribosomal RNA", at positions 509 to 807 of the family's 1533-position model. The record is from RNAcentral.